GAUGAACGCUGGCGGCGUGCCUAAUACAUGCAAGUCGAGCGAAUGGAUUAAGAGCUUGCUCUUAUGAAGUUAGCGGCGGACGGGUGAGUAACACGUGGGUAACCUGCCCAUAAGACUGGGAUAACUCCGGGAAACCGGGGCUAAUACCGGAUAAUAUUUUGAACUGCAUGGUUCAAAAUUGAAAGGCGGCUUCGGCUGUCACUUAUGGAUGGACCCGCGUCGCAUUAGCUAGUUGGUGAGGUAACGGCUCACCAAGGCAACGAUGCGUAGCCGACCUGAGAGGGUGAUCGGCCACACUGGGACUGAGACACGGCCCAGACUCCUACGGGAGGCUGCAGUGGGGAAUCUUGCGCAAUGAGCGAAAGCUUGACGCAGCAACGCCGCGUGAGGGAAGAAGGCCUUCGGGUCGUAAACCUCUUUCAGGGAAGAGUAAGGCCCGUGAGUUAACAGCUCAUAAGGGUUGAAAGUAUUCCCAGAAGAAGCACCGGCUAACUACGUGCCAGCAGCCGCGGUAA
RNAcentral lists this ribosomal RNA (515 nucleotides) under uncultured bacterium. Its description in RNAcentral is "partial 16S ribosomal RNA". It matches the Rfam family "Bacterial small subunit ribosomal RNA", at positions 28 to 523 of the family's 1533-position model. The record is from RNAcentral.